This 1923-nucleotide long non-coding RNA is filed under the name Lupinus mutabilis. Its description in RNAcentral is "partial ncRNA". The record is from RNAcentral. Lineage: Eukaryota; Viridiplantae; Streptophyta; Magnoliopsida; Fabales; Fabaceae.
CACCAGUUACCUACACUUGUAUUAAACUAUCCAAAAUAGAAAAAAAAGACUAACUCCAUAAACUCUUCAUCUAUAAAUCUCAAUCUCUUUUACUCUCUUAAAACUCAUCAACACAAAAUGGCUUUACAUUUCAACCAACUUCACCUAUUCAUCAUUGCUCUUUUACUUAACAUAUUUUUUUCCUCUGGCAACAGAUUAUUAUUAUUAUCAGAAGAAGAAACCAAGCCAUCAACAAUGCAUUCUGAAUCAUCAAAACCAGUUUCAGUUUCUCAGCCAAAUAUAGUAAUUGCACCAUUACUCCAAAACCCACCAUUUUUUAUUCCUAACCCUUUGCUACCAACAUUUCCAACACUGCCACCUCUCCCUAAAUUUCCACCUCUACCCAUUAUUCCAUUUAUGCCUACUAUACCAUCCAUCAUUCCUUCUUUUCCUUCUAACCCAACCAUGGCUCAUCCACCUCAUGCACUUAAUAAUGCAAACCCAUGAACUCAACAACUGCAAAAAAUAAAACUUUAUGAUUAAUUUAUUUUAUAUUAAGUUUCUUGAGUACUCACCUCUAGUGGUUGAGGGCUUAAGAGUAUAUUGCAUACAGCAAAUGGUCUUGUAUUAAUAAUGUUGGAAAAUAAUUCAUUUCUUAUGCUUAUGUUGUAGGGUGUGGUUUGAUUCUUAGUAUAAUUCAGUAAAUACAAAAAUAACAUUGUUCAUUUUAGUUCGGUUUAUGUUGAACUUUUGUGUAUGAAUUGUACCAUGAAUGUUUCGCAAAUCAUAACUCAUAGGAAAAAAGAAGUAUUUAACUACUCUAUUUAGAGGUUUAUGUUAGAAGAGCAAAUUUUUAUGUUCAUAUUUAUUUAGAUAAAAAAAUAUCAUAUGCUAUCUUUUUACUUGCUGCUUUGUUUAGGUCAAUACUUUGUUCUGCUAAAUUGAAAAUGAAUUGAGAAGGAAAAGGACAAACAGAAAUGAUGACAAUUAAUCAACUAACAGAAUUUAUUAGACUUGCUGAAAACAAGACAAAGUUUCAAAAGUACAUGAACUGGAGUAGUAACUAGUAAGGAACUAUAAGUCAGCUAAUCCUAAAGGAAACAAACAAGGAUUCUAUCUAGUGAAGUUCUUGUUUUACUUUUAAAACACUUGCAUUUUGAGUACUGAAGAUAAUUCUUACUGACAAAAGAAACUAGCAACAGGAAAGUAGUAAGAUUUUCAUACAAAUAUUAUUUUUUGGUUCAACCAUACAACUUAAUAAACUACAAACCUUAAACCAGACAACUUUAUUGUUUUGUUGGUACAAGCAUAGAACUUAUUUUCACUGCAUGCAUCCCAUCCAAAGUUAUGUAUGUCCAUGCAUGGUUACAUAGGUGGGGAUGGAACAAUGCCAGGGAUAUCAAAAGGAGGGAAAGAAAGAGGAGGGAAAGGGAGUGGUGGAAUCAUUGGAACAUCAAAGGGUGGUGGAAAUGGGAGUCCUCCAACUGGUGGUUGCAUUGGCCAUGGAAAUGGAAAUAGUGGUAAUGGAUGUUUCUCAUCUUUUACUCCUAUUCCCAUCUUUGAACCUUCAUUUCCUUCUACUACUUCACUUCUAAAUACUACUACUUCCUUCUCCUCUUUUGCCUUCUUAUUCUUGUUGCUUUGAUCUACUGCUCCUACACUUUCACUUUCAAUUGCUACUUCUUUGUCUUCAUUUGAUGGAUUCUUGAGUUGCCUAGCAUAGCUUAGAGUAACAUGGUUGUUCAUCACUGCAACCAAACAAAGUAGAAACAUAAGAUUCAAGGUCAUUCUGAAAAUUCUUUGACAAGUCAUGUUUGAGAGAGAUUUUAGAGAAAGAAAUUAAAAGAGAGGUUGCAUAUGUUGCGACUCAUAGAUGCAGGUAUAUAUAUAUAUAUAUAAAAAAAAAAGGAGAAAAGAGUGUAGAAAUAUAAGUGAGAAAAUGUU